GAAGACUUUUUUAGAUUUGAAGAGAAGGAUCAUAUGCAGGGCUUAAACAACAGACUUGCAGGAUACAUUGAUAAGGUUCGUCAACUGCAAACAGAGAAUAGAAGGAUGACAAGACAGGUUGAGGUUAUUGAGAGCUCCCAGAUGAAGGAGAUCGCCAACAUCAAGGCCUUGUAUGGUAACGAAGUACGAGACCUCAAGGUAUUCAUUAUUAUUAUUAUUAGUGUAAUC
Eurytemora carolleeae is the source of this 228-nucleotide long non-coding RNA. RefSeq lists it as uncharacterized. NCBI's taxonomy places the organism in Eukaryota, Metazoa, Arthropoda, Copepoda, Calanoida, Temoridae. The record is from RefSeq and is a predicted model, not a curated record. The transcript has 3 exons.